UACAGAGGUCUCAAGCGUUGUUCGGAUUCAUUGGGCGUAAAGGGUUCGUAGGCGGUGUGGCAAGUCGGGAGUGAAAUUUCUGGGCUCAACUCAGAGACUGCUUCCGAAACUGCUGUGCUUGAGUGUGGGAGAGGCGCGUGGAAUUGCAGGUGUAGCGGUGAAAUGCGUAGAUAUCUGCAGGAACACCCGUGGCGAAAGCGGCGCGCUGGACCACUACUGACGCUGAGGAACGAAAGCUAGGGGAGCAAACAGG
Molecule: ribosomal RNA, 253 nt
Filed under: uncultured bacterium
Lineage: Bacteria
Description: partial 16S ribosomal RNA
Rfam family: Bacterial small subunit ribosomal RNA
Source: RNAcentral